This 6956-nucleotide long non-coding RNA is filed under the name Malus domestica (apple). RNAcentral's name for it is "long non-coding RNA (MDOM_LNC018230)". The record is from RNAcentral. Lineage: Eukaryota; Viridiplantae; Streptophyta; Magnoliopsida; Rosales; Rosaceae.
UUACUCAUCUCCAUUGUUUCUUCAAUCUCCUCCUUACACGGUGUGCGAUCCAUUAGGUUCCUUUUAGCGAGGCAGUGGGCGAUUAAAACCAUUUUACAUCGAUUGUGAAUUGAAACUUACUUUCAAUUCUCCCUUUAGUGAUUACACACGUUUAGGGCUUCCACAAACCAUGAGUGACACCUUGCAGCAUAUCAUGGUUACCCAAGCUAAUCAGAAGAAGUAGAGAACCUAUUCAGUUUGGGAUUACAAAUGCAAUACGGUCUUUCUCUAAUCUAAUACUCUUGACCACAUUGUUUGGUUUGAUAGUUUAUAUGUUCAUAUCUACUAUCCAAUGUGAUUCGUGUGCUUAUAUGAUUUCUUUGAAUGUGAUUUAGAACGACUUUUCUAAAUCUCAUUCAUAGUCUGGCCAGAGAUUCUAAAUCAUAUCAUAGAGUAUUCUCCCUCAAACCAUUUGAAUGUUAGAGAUCCCUUGUUGCACAUUCACUUGUCUCCAUGACUAAGUGGCUUAAUCCCAAUGAUGCCGUGGACACCCCGAUGGGGUGACUUUGACAUAAUCAAAGAUCAAGGACUUAACCACAAGACAACUGUGAUGCCUCAGGUCAAAAGACUAAUUUGCAUUAUCCCAACCAUGAGUUCUCAUAUGACAUGAAUAUGAGAACUCUUCGUCGAUCACGUUCAGUGAACUCAUUCUCUAUUGAGCACCUACGUACUUGUCUUGAUGUCACACACACCAAUGACUCGAGACUAGUCACUCUCCUUGAGAGAAGCCAUAGCACGUACCGAUCUUGAUGGACUGUCAAUGCCCAAUUGGCAAUCCUAUGAUCAGGAACAUUUAGGAUGUGUCUACGAAAGAAUGGUCUCAUGAAUCUAACUUCAUUAGAUUACAUUCUCCCAAUCACAUAUUCCUUGGACUUUAUCGUUUAAGCAUAUAACAUUUAUAUGAGACGGCUCAAACAAUAAUCUUUGCCCUUUAUAUUAAACUAGAUUAGUUUAACAUGUGAAAUGUCCGUAAAGUAUCAUCAUAUGAUUGGCUUUAGGGCACAUUUCCAACAAAAUAAAACCCACGAAAAUCAUCAUGCAAAACAGCCUGUUUACCCCCCCACACUUAAACCAAACAUUGUCCUCAAUGUUUCAAACAUAGACUUACACUCAAACAAGCAAACAACACAACUAAUAAACAUGACAAGCAUGGCAAAGUAAAAACAAGAAAGAGUAGAGUUUAGGAACGCAAAUCUGGUUAUGGAGGUAGAUGAUCUUUGGCUUCGGUAGUGAAUAAAUCGGCACGUCUUUUGUCAUGCUUGUUGACUUUCCACAGCUCUGAUCUUGAACUGGAUUGGAAGGAAGAGGAGAAUUCCUUGGUGGUGGUGAUUUGAUGGCAUUGUACGAUGAGGCUUUGCUCUUUGGCGACUAAUGCAUCAAUAUGUUGUCGAAGCUUCUCAAGUUCUUGGAUUCAACUCAGACUCCUUCUGCUGGGUUGAUUGAUUGUGCAGGCUGCAUUCUUCUCUGCUUGAAACCUUUUGCAAAGUAUUCGGACUUGUGUUUAUUCAAAAUAAACUAUAGUCCAACCGAGAGUGAUCUUCGGUGAAUGUCAUUCAACAUGAGUAGUAUUAUGUUUGUGGACAAGUGCCACUAACAUCUAAGUGAAUUAACCUCAACAACUUUGUGAUUCUUUCUUCUUUCCAAAAGAAUAAAGAUUCGAACAUUUCGCCUCUAUACAAUUUUAACAAGAAGGUAUUGGAUCCGGAUCUAACAAUCCAAAGCAUCCAUUUAUUACCAACUCGUAAUUUAUGUUUUUAGAGGAAUCACAACUUAAGUUGGGAUUAGUCACUACCUUGCAACCUUUUGGGUUUUAAGCAUCAUUUUAUUCUAAACAGUUAACACUACCAUAUCAUCUCUACUAUAGAGACAAUCAAUUAGAUUACUAUAAUCCAAUCAUUGAUUAAUAAAGAACAAUGUUUUGUCAAACAAAACAUUCAUCCAUCUCUACUAUAGUGACGGAAUUAAGUUCCUUAAAAUUGGAAUGUAAAGAUAAUCUUUGGUUUUUCCAAUUUCUUUGGUAGUUCAUAUGAGGAAGUAAGUACCAUCUGCUUUCGCAGAAAUCUAUAUUUUAUUCACUUUCCGAAUGUGAAGUACUUUUUCUUCUCUCAUUAAUCUUCUACUUCUUGUUUGCCACACUUUUACAACGAUUGUAAAACAUAGUUACUAAUACGGAAUCAAACAUUCAAGUAGAAGAACCAACUGUUUUGAACUAUUCAAGAACAAUUUACAACACAUUCGAAAGGUGUGUUCUUGACACUUGCAAGACAUUUCUUGCAAAUACCCCUUCCAAUGUCCAUCCUUUCAUAAAGAAAGUUUGUUCCCUUGGAGUUAAUUUUAUCUUCUUCAUUUGACUUCUCCUUUGACUACAAUAGUCAUGGUCCCUAAACUCCCACUAUCUCUCUUGAAACUUAUUUCAAUUGUGUUAUACACAUCAAACAUUUUGGAGAGCAUGUGGUUAUUGUUCACUAUAUAGUUUACAAUAAACUUGGUGAACCAUAAGGAUAGGGACACAAAGGUGAAGUCCUUGCCUAGUUUCUGUCUCAUUAAGUGGUUUAUCACUUCAACACUCAAUGAUUCAAAAUCAUCAUAAGUCCAUGUUAAUGGACUAUUUUUGUCAACCAACCAUUAUGUUCUAAACAUAAUUACAAACUUUCAAGAGUUGUACAAGGCAACUCUCAUUUCUUCAUACAACAAUUUGUAAGUGAAGAAUCAUGGCACAUUAAGUGUCCAUGCCUUUGUGCUUUCUUCUCAAGUUCUUUGUUCAUUUAACAAAGAAACAAGCACUAGUGUUUGCAUUGGCUAAGGGUUGUUCAAAGCAACUAUUAUUUCUUCAUACAACGAUUUGUAAGUGAAGAACUAAUAACACUAAAAGUGUCUUUGUCAUUAUGCUAAUCUUCGUAAGUUCCUUUGUUCAUUUAACAAAGGAUUAAGCAUUGGUUGUUUGUGUUGUCCUCUUUAUGAUAGACUUUUUCUAACAUAUUCUUCUAGUGAUACAUUAUCAAUAGGAAGAUUGUGAGGAUUAGACUACUUAGGUACAUAUACAAUCCAUUUAAGACAAUCUUUGGGAUUGUGUUACCAAGUCCGGAAACUAAAGCAUUCGGCUUUUCUUUGUCAAGUUUUGGAUAGCGUUUGCAAAUAUAUUGGUAAACAAAUACAUAACGAAUAUAAAUUGAUUGAUUUUAAGCCAUUUGAUUCGGGUCUUUAAAUCAAAUAGCACCACCCACUAUUUUUGGCAAAUUCCAUAUCCCUCAUUGGAAUUCGAGAGUUUUGGAUGAAACUCCUAGUAGGGUAUGGGAGGCUCACUAUUACCAAGCCCACCUCAGAAGAAAAUCAUAUUGGCUAGCGUUAAUAAUAAUGAGAGAGUACGCUUACUCAUUUGCAACAACCUCUUGCAAGUACCCAUCUAGUUUGGCCUCUAGAGAAUGAUGCCUCAGAAGAAUAUCAUAUUGGCACCAUUGCACUUAGUUAAGUCAUUCCCACCAUGCUAGUUCAAGUAGGGGUUCAAGAAUGGCCUCAGAAGAAUAUCAUAUUGACCACACUCGUUGCCUACCUUUCACUUCAUCAUAUGUUUAUAGGUUUCUCCUGAAUGUAAGCACAUACUUUGCAACCCCAGAACUGGACGAAUACGGUGUAUGAGUCACAAAUGAUUGAAGCCUACCACGGUGGAAGGCCACGAAAGAGUGUUCAAAGCACUCUCACGCUUAUCAACUUAAUAAUGGUUUGGUUGAGGGUUUUAGGUCUCAUCACAUAUAAACAUACAUUUUAAUCUCUAUUAAAACAAUUUUGGUGCUAUUACAACUAUUGGUCCAUUUGAUUGUUUUAGUUGUAUAUAAUACUCCCACUAUGCUUAUAAAACGGUUUUUAAAGCAAGAGUAUAUGAUACUACUAACAUAACCUUUGCAUUCAUUUAAUGGACUAUAUAGUUGCCUUAGGGCCUUAGGAUGACUAUGAACCUUUGUUUAGAUUCAACACGAGCCUAGUGUUGAAUCUCGGUCUAGGAAUGGUGAUUGAUUUUAGUUACGCGUUUAAUCACAUUAAGGCGUGUUGUCUUAGGGGCGUUGGACCCAACUAUUUCAUUUUCAUGCAUAUCAAAUAAAGCAAGAAAGAAGUACUUCAAAGUAAAGGUGAGCUUAUGCUCAUUACAACAUUUGCAUAUAACAAAUUACUUUAAAGUAAAGAAGAGCUUAAGCCCUUUUACAACAUUUGAUCAAAUCAAAUUACAACCAAAAUCUAAUCUACACAUUCCCAUGGUUCAAACAAAUUUGAAACGGCCUAUCACAUAGCUCAAUUAUAUUAGGCUUAGGUUCAUAAUCACCCUUUAAUUAAUUAACACUUUAACUAAUUAAAUUGAAUGCAACAUUUUCAUUUGGUUUUUGUAUCCAUAAAAUUGAUUUAAAUGGAGCUAAACAAAAUGAAAAUCCAAUUCUCAUUUAAAGAGACAAAACAAUUUUGUUCUCUACUUAAUUUGGGCCAAUAUGCAAUAACCACAACUUUUGGGCCAUAAAGCAAUUAACCUCAACUUUUGGGCUAUAUUGCAAAACUUUUGGGGUCACUUUGUAAAGACACAAAAGUCCACUACUUCAUGUAAUUACAAUAGAACCCAAAAUUUAAUCAAUGCAAAAACUUCAUUAAAGGAGCAAAACAAUUUGUCCUUUAGCGUUUUUUGGACCUAAACGUAAAAACGUAAACUUUUGGGCCAAAGUGCAAAUACACAAAAGUAUCAAAACUUUAUGUAAUUGCAUAAAAGGCCCCAAAAGUACCCCCACUAGGGGGUGGCCGGUUUUGGAAGAGGAUAUGAGUGAUGUGUGUGUUGAUUUGUGAGUUUUGACAUAAAGCAUGCAAGUGCACAAGUGGUGUGUGUGAAAGGGAAUUAAUCCUUUCACACCCACCAUUAUUUCUAUUGCCAUUUAAACAAAUAUCUAAAACAUUUAAACAUUUGAAAAUGCAUAAAACAUAAACUUUAUGAAAUAAAUCAAAACUUUGAAUCAAAACACAAACCUUUUUGUUCUUGGCAAAAAUGUCAAGAACAAUGAAGAACACUCAUGAAAAACUCAAAAUUUUCCAUGAACAUUUUUCACCCAAAAACAUUCCAAAACCAUUCAAACUUUAGGGAAAUAACAUCUAACCAAACUAGGGUACAUAGGGGUUCCAAAAGUCACUUGAAAACACUUUUAACAAGUCAAACAAGAACCCAAAAAUCCACCCUUUGGAUUUGGCCGAAAAUCCCCAAAGUCAUGGCACCAAAUUUUAGCUCCAAUAUUCAUGCUCAUAUGAACUACAUCUACAACAUUUGAGAUGGCAAAUUUUCUAACAAAAUUUACAUUCAAAGAAACAAGAAUAAAGCUUGUAACAUAUUACAACUUUUAAAUCACAAACUAUGAACUACAAAACCCAAAAGGAUUCACCAACUACUAGACCUAGGCUCUGAUACCACUUGAAGGAAAAUUUUGGGAAAACAUGUUCAUUUAAGCAACAUCAAUAAGCAUGCAAUUAACAAUUAAAGGCGGAAUCAUGCUAGCAUGCACUUAAAAACAAAACAUUAACCAAGAAAUUCAAAACCUAGUAGAUUGGUGAACCAUUAAUCAACUCAAAACAAAGUGAGUUGAAAUUGUACCUUUGUAGAUUCCUCUUUGCAUAAGCAAAGGCUAAUCACCCAAAGAGAGGGCCUUCAUUCCUUGCAUAUUAAAUCUAUGGAUUUGGAUGGAAGAAUAGGAUUCUCCAAGUUCCCAAAAUAGGGAACCUCUAAGUCUCUUCACCAAGGAGAGAUUGGAGAAGAAAUGAGUGACCUUGGAGUAGUGGGAUUGCAAGAUGCACCCCCAAGGUGGCCGGCCUCUUUAGAGAGAAAUGGAGAGACAUGUUCCCUCCAAUUUUCUCCAAAACAAACCCUAAUGAAUUUUAGGCUAUAAAGUCAUAUUUAUACCUUUAUUCAUUUGAGUGGCAAACUUGUAAAUAAGUCCAAGUUCACUACCCUUAGCAUCAUGGCCGGCCCUAGGAUAUUUUGGGCUAAUUAGGCCUUUGUGAAUCAUUAUUCAUUAAGUUGUCAUACAACUUAAGUCCAUGGACUUAACGUUCGAAGCCCAUUGGGCCUUAAGGUCCAAAACUAUCCCCGAGGUCUUUAACGAACUUAUUCGUUUGAUUAAUUAACAUAUUAAUUAAUCCUUGCCAUAAAUAAAUGAUUAAACCAUUUAAUCAUUCUUACUCAUCUCCAUUGUUUCUUCAAUCUCCUCCUUACACGGUGUGCGAUCCAUUAGGUUCUUUUUAGCGAGGCAGUGGGCGAUUAAAACCAUUUUACAUCGAUUGUGAAUUGAAACUUACUUUCAAUUCUCCCUUUAGUGAUUACACACGUUUAGGGCUUCCACAAACCAUGAGUGACACCUUGCAGCAUAUCAUGGUUACCCAAGCUAAUCAGAAGAAGUAGAGAACCUAUUCAGUUUGGGAUUACAAAUGCAAUACGGUCUUUCUCUAAUCUAAUACUCUUGACCACAUUGUUUGGUUUGAUAGUUUAUAUGUUCAUGUCUACUAUCCAAUGUGAUUCGUGUGCUUAUAUGAUUUCUUUGAAUGUGAUUUAGAACGACUUUUCUAAAUCUCAUUCAUACUCUGGCCAGAGAUUCUAAAUCAUAUCAUAGAGUAUUCUCCCUCAAACCAUUUGAAGGUUAGAGAUCCCUUGUUGCACAUUCACUUGUCUCCAUGACUAAGUGGCUUAAUCCCAAUGAUGCCGUGGACACCCCGAUGGGGUGACUUUGACAUAAUCAAAGAUCAAGGACUUAACCACAAGACAACUAUGAUGCCUCAGGUCAAAAGACUAAUUUGCAUUAUCCCAACCAUGAGUUCUCAUAUGACAUGAAUAUGAGAACUCUUCGUCGAUCACGUUCAGUGAACUCAUUCUCUAUUGAGCACCUACGUACUUGUCUUGAUGU